GAGUACGGCCGCAAGGUUAAAACUCAAAUGAAUUGACGGGGGCCCGCACAAGCGGUGGAGCAUGUGGUUUAAUUCGAUGCAACGCGAAGAACCUUACCUGGUCUUGACAUCCACAGAACUUAGCAGAGAUGCUUUGGUGCCUUCGGGAACUGUGAGACAGGUGCUGCAUGGCUGUCGUCAGCUCGUGUUGUGAAAUGUUGGGUUAAGUCCCGCAACGAGCGCAACCCUUAUCCUUUGUUGCCAGCGGUUAGGCCGGGAACUCAAAGGAGACUGCCAGUGAUAAACUGGAGGAAGGUGGGGAUGACGUCAAGUCAUCAUGGCCCUUACGACCAGGGCUACACACGUGCUACAAUGGCGCAUACAAAGAGAAGCGACCUCGCGAGAGCAAGCGGACCUCAUAAAGUGCGUCGUAGUCCGGAUUGGAGUCUGCAACUCGACUCCAUGAAGUCGGAAUCGCUAGUAAUCGUAGAUCAGAAUGCUACGGUGAAUACGUUCCCGGGCCUUGUACACACCGCCCGUCACACCAU
This 527-nucleotide ribosomal RNA is filed under the name Kosakonia sp. RNAcentral's name for it is "bacterial SSU rRNA". It matches the Rfam family "Bacterial small subunit ribosomal RNA", at positions 878 to 1405 of the family's 1533-position model. The record is from RNAcentral. Lineage: Bacteria; Pseudomonadati; Pseudomonadota; Gammaproteobacteria; Enterobacterales; Enterobacteriaceae.